UAGGGAAUCUUCGGCAAUGGACGGAAGUCUGACCGAGCAACGCCGCGUGAGUGAAGAAGGUUUUCGGAUCGUAAAGCUCUGUUGUAAGAGAAGAACGAGUGUGAGAGUGGAAAGUUCACACUGUGACGGUAUCUUACCAGAAAGGGACGGCUAACUACGUGCCAGCAGCCGCGGUAAUACGUAGGUCCCGAGCGUUGUCCGGAUUUAUUGGGCGUAAAGCGAGCGCAGGCGGUUAGAUAAGUCUGAAGUUAAAGGCUGUGGCUUAACCAUAGUACGCUUUGGAAACUGUUUAACUUGAGUGCAAGAGGGGAGAGUGGAAUUCCAUGUGUAGCGGUGAAAUGCGUAGAUAUAUGGAGGAACACCGGUGGCGAAAGCGGCUCUCUGGCUUGUAACUGACGCUGAGGCUCGAAAGCGUGGGGAGCAAACAGGAUUAGAUACCCUGGUAGUCCACGCCGUAAACGAUGAGUGCUAGGUGUUAGACCCUUUCCGGGGUUUAGUGCCGUAGCUAACGCAUUAAGCACUCCGCCUGGGGAGUACGACACGCAAGGUUG
RNAcentral lists this ribosomal RNA (551 nucleotides) under uncultured bacterium. Its description in RNAcentral is "bacterial SSU rRNA". It matches the Rfam family "Bacterial small subunit ribosomal RNA", at positions 355 to 896 of the family's 1533-position model. The record is from RNAcentral.